GUACUUUUUACUUAAUUCUACCUUCAUACUGCAAGAUUGGAAAAUAUUUUAUUGAAAAAUGUUUCUUGGACUAUUAGAUGACAAGUAACUUAAUAUGAUAUUGAUUUUUUUUUUUUCGAUUGCAUGUCCUUCAUGUACUACUUUAAAUCAAAAUAUAGGCAUGUGUCUUCUCUCCAGAAUUAAUACGCCUGCUUAAAAUUAUUUUUGUUUGAAAGUCUUUUCCAGUUAAGAUGAA
RNAcentral lists this unclassified non-coding RNA (235 nucleotides) under Hevea brasiliensis (rubber tree). Lineage: Eukaryota; Viridiplantae; Streptophyta; Magnoliopsida; Malpighiales; Euphorbiaceae. The record is from RNAcentral.